This 447-nucleotide ribosomal RNA is filed under the name uncultured bacterium. Its description in RNAcentral is "bacterial SSU rRNA". It matches the Rfam family "Bacterial small subunit ribosomal RNA", at positions 355 to 825 of the family's 1533-position model. The record is from RNAcentral.
UCGGGAAUUUUGGGCAAUGGGGGAAACCCUGACCCAGCAACGCCGCGUGAAGGAUGAAGUAUUUCGGUAUGUAAACUUCGAAAGAAUAGGAAGAAUAAAUGACGGUACUAUUUAUAAGGUCCGGCUAACUACGUGCCAGCAGCCGCGGUAAUACGUAGGGACCAAGCGUUGUUCGGAUUUACUGGGCGUAAAGGGCGCGUAGGCGGCAUGACAAGUCACUUGCGAAAUCUCUGGGCUUAACCCAGAACGGCCAAGUGAUACUGUCGCGCUAGAGUGCAGAAGGGGCAAUCGGAAUUCUUGGUGUAGCGGUGAAAUGCGUAGAUAUCAAGAGGAACACCUGAGGUGAAGACGGGUUGCUGGGCUGACACUGACGCUGAGGCGCGAAAGCCAGGGGAGCAAACGGGAUUAGAUACCCGGGUAGUCCCUGAGCGGGCUGGCAAGGCGCAU